This 805-nucleotide long non-coding RNA is filed under the name Homo sapiens (human). RNAcentral describes it as "HSALNT0359473". Lineage: Eukaryota; Metazoa; Chordata; Mammalia; Primates; Hominidae. The record is from RNAcentral.
GCACGGCAUGGCCCCCCGUCCUGGCACCCGGAGCUGUGCGGGCUUCGCUGGGGGCUUGGUUGCCCGCGGGCGCGGAGCUGCGGGCGAAGCCGGAGCAGGGGCGGACGCGGAAGCCGGAGCCCGCCAGGCACUCGAGCCACGCGCCUGCAGCCGCUGGAGCCGGAAUCCUGCCGGCUCGGGUUGAUUUGUAAACAAUGGGUGACGUCGCGCCGGGCCCUACCACCGCACCGGGGCGGGGGUGACGCGCGAGCAGGCACGGGGGCAAAGGGCGGCGCGGGCGGUGACCGAAGCCGUCCCGCGCCUGUGUUCGUUGUCCCUCCAGGAGGGGGUCCGGGGCGUGGGGACUGAUUUCCGACCUCCCGGGCCCAACGAGCCGUGCUGAAACGUGGCGCCUCGGAGGAGGCUGAGAUUCCUGCAGGUAGACACCAAGGAUCUCCUCAGAGCCAGCGCUGAUCUCAUCCACAGAGGGAUCACAUGACCUCAUCUGGGAAAAUAUAAACCCUACCCACCUGCCUGCCCAUUUGGAAAUGCAGACUGGAGGACGCUAAGUUCAUUCUUACCUAUGUACUAACAAGUACACAAGAAGAUGCUCAAUAUCAUUAGUCCUUGGGGAAAUGCAAAUUAGAUUAUAAUGAGAUUCCAGUGUACACCCACUAGAAGGCUAUUAAAAAGGACAAUACCAACUGUUGGCAACAAUGUGGAGAAAUGGAACCCCUCCUACGUUUCUGAUGAGAAUGUAAAAUGGUGCAGAUACUUUGGAAAACAGUUUGGCAAUUUAUUAAAAGAUUAAAUAAGCAUAAACUUA